AAUAAGCCUGUACUCUGCAUGGCAUCAACUAAGCUUUUAAAGAUUAUGGAUGAGCAAGGGUUUGAGAAAAAAGUUUGAAAAAUCAAAACCAAAGCUUUAUAGCCACUUCAGAAAGCCUGGAUGUUUAACCUGUAAGGAAGUCUGUCAAAUCCUUGAGGAAACCACAUAGAGAAAGAUCAAUAGAAUACCUACUGGCUCCAUUAGCUUGAUGUAAAAGGGGGAAGAGGGAAACCAGCUCUUCCACAAGAGGAGAUACAUUAUUCCAGGGAUUAAGCGGGAUCAGUUCUCUUGCAGAAAAGAAGACAAGAAAAAGAAUGAAGAUUCUUGGUGGGCCAGAACUGGAGUGAAAGGGCUUGUCAGGUCUCUGGAUUAGCUUUGAAUGCGAGGAAGGGAGAGGGAGGUAUUUCUACUGCUGCUUCUGGGACCAGCGUCAGCACUUCUGUCACCACCACCGCCAUGAAUGCAGCCAUGCCUGCCUUGCAAUUUCUGGAAAACCCAGCUAAUCUGGGUUGCUUGUCUCUCUGAGAGCAUCUGGCACCUGGAGUGAAUCGCCCAUUGCUGUGGCCCGGGUACCGGCUGGCUCGGGCUGGGAACCGAC
Molecule: long non-coding RNA, 598 nt
Organism: Catharus ustulatus (Swainson's thrush)
Lineage: Eukaryota; Metazoa; Chordata; Aves; Passeriformes; Turdidae
Exons: 3
Source: RefSeq, a predicted model, not a curated record